GCCUCGGUAGCUCAGUUGGAUAGAGCAACGGCCUUCUAAGCCGUAGGUCAUGGGUUCGAGCCCCGUCCGGGGUA
This 74-nucleotide transfer RNA is filed under the name Bacteroidetes bacterium GWA2_42_15. Its description in RNAcentral is "tRNA-Arg". It matches the Rfam family "tRNA". From Rfam's summary of the family: Transfer RNA (tRNA) molecules are approximately 80 nucleotides in length. Their secondary structure includes four short double-helical elements and three loops (D, anti-codon, and T loops). RNAcentral also lists the same sequence under 3 other names. The record is from RNAcentral. Lineage: Bacteria; Pseudomonadati; Bacteroidota.